RNAcentral lists this ribosomal RNA (253 nucleotides) under uncultured bacterium. RNAcentral's name for it is "partial 16S ribosomal RNA". It matches the Rfam family "Bacterial small subunit ribosomal RNA", at positions 524 to 776 of the family's 1533-position model. The record is from RNAcentral.
UACGAAGGGGGCAAGCGUUAAUCGGAAUUACUGGGCGUAAAGCGUGCGCAGGCGGUUUUGUAAGUCUGAUGUGAAAUCCCCGGGCUCAACCUGGGAAUGGCAUUUGUGACUGGAAGGCUAGAGUGUGUCAGAGGGGGGUAGAAUUCCACGUGUAGCAGUGAAAUGCGUAGAGAUGUGGAGGAACACCGAUGGCGAAGGCAGCCCCCUGGGUCAAGAUUGACGCUCAUGCACGAAAGCGUGGGGAGCAAACAGG